AGACUGCCGGUAAAAGCCGGAGGAAGGUGAGGAUGAUGUCAAGUCAGCAUGACCUUUAUAUCCAGGGCUACACACACGGCUACAAUGGUCUGUACAAUGGGUAGCCAAGCCGCGAGGCGGAGCCGAAUCCUGAAAGCAGGACCUCAGUUCAGAUUGCAGUCUGCAACUCGACUGCAUGAAGCCGGAGUUGCUAGUAACCGCAGGUCAGCAAUACUGCGGUGAAUACGUUCCCGGGUCCUU
Molecule: ribosomal RNA, 240 nt
Filed under: uncultured Anaerolineaceae bacterium
Lineage: Bacteria; Bacillati; Chloroflexota; Anaerolineae; Anaerolineales; Anaerolineaceae
Description: partial 16S ribosomal RNA
Rfam family: Bacterial small subunit ribosomal RNA
Source: RNAcentral